CUUCCGCGGCGCCGAUGCGGGGCGGCUCUUCCAGGGCGAGAGGAAGCCCGCCGUGGGCUUGACCGGCAGGCACGUUUCUCGGGAGGAGGAGGACGAAAGGCCGCCGGCCCCAGCCCGACGUUUUGCCGGUCAGGGUAACAGGUCACACUUCGAGCAGUUCGGAGGUUUCCAAUCGGUGCAAGCGCUGAGACAGGGGUGCUCGGAACAAAGAGCAAUCUUGCCCUCACGCGCACUGUGAGUGGUCUUCGUCCAAGCCAGGCUGUGUCCACAAGCUUCCAGCUGACAUUUGGAAGAAAGAUACGCUCCUUCUGAGCUGAUUUUGGAGAGUUCUACAAAUACGCCUCAUGGCCCCGUUCUCGGACCUCUGACCCCACUCCCACGUGAGGGCCAGGACGGAUCAGCGCAGCCCUGUGUGUGGUUCAUGUCUUCCAAGGUUCACAUCAGCUCCUCCAAGAGCUUCAUACCUCCGUGACGACGAAUGUCACUUGGACAUAAAGGGGGUGAGUGUAUGAUGCUUGGCCGCCAUUCCCGUAUUCCCGAAACGUGCUGUUUCAUGGACUGUCUGGUGCGUUUCGACAAGAAUGAUCUGGGAGAGGACUAUGCACCUGAUGUUCCUGCUGUCUCUGGAGAAGCCUGGGGGGGAGGAGGUGGGGUCGGGGGAGGCCCUCGAAUCUACAGUGGGAGCAAAUGGUAAGGCUGUCAGGUAACCGUGCAAAUAUCAGAACAAAUCUUAAUGCGACCUGUAAGCGUAAGGACAGAGAUGAGAAGGAGCCGAGGGCAGUUCCGCCUGGCGCGGCUGCCGGGGUCACGUCCUUCUCCCCAGUAAUGACUACAUUCCAAGUCCCUUGUGGUGAAAACGAAAAUACGACCACAUUCUGGGUGUCUGCUUGGCUUGGAUAAGCUAGACCCAGAUUCAGGAAAAGAAGUCUGUAGAACAUGGAGUCGUUAGUUACAAAAGGAGCAGAGAAAGAUAAAAGUCAGGAGGAAUCUGAUGAAAACCCGUUGAAGUUCAUCAUGGAAAGUGCCAGAUCAGGGCAAAUCUCUAUACCAGUGAUUCCCAAACUUUAGCAUCGGAAUCUCCUGGGGUUUGAGCUGCCAGAGGAAAGGCAGAAGCCCAAUGAAAUCUGUAUUUCAGAGAAACAAUGAAUCAAUUUUAGUAUAAGUAUGUCCCAUGAAAAAAUCGGGUUUCUCUAAAAUUCAAAUUUAACUGUGUGCCUUUAUUUUAUUCACCGUGCCUGGCAGCCUUACCUAGUUCAGACACUGGUUUCUGGGCUACACACUCGGAGGUCGUGGCUCAGCAGAUCCGGGUGGGGCCCAGGAAUCUGCAUUUCCAACCCUCUCGCUGGGGAUGCUGACCCUGCUGGUCUGAGGAUACACUUGGAGAAUCACAGCCCCCAAAGCCCUCCCCGUGUGAGGACGGCUGUGCAUGUCUCUGGCCACCAGCUACAGGAGGGACGCUCUGGGGACAUGGGCUGUGCAUCCUCUGGUGCGUCAUCUCCCACCUCCCCGGGAAGUGUGCGGCCCUCCGUGUUCAGGCAGGAGCGCUGGGCGCUCCCGUGAACCAAGAGGCA
Long non-coding RNA from Lynx canadensis (Canada lynx), 1571 nucleotides. RefSeq lists it as uncharacterized. The transcript has 3 exons. Lineage: Eukaryota; Metazoa; Chordata; Mammalia; Carnivora; Felidae. The record is from RefSeq and is a predicted model, not a curated record.